RNAcentral lists this long non-coding RNA (3469 nucleotides) under Nicotiana tabacum (common tobacco). RNAcentral's name for it is "long non-coding RNA (NTAB_LNC004634)". Lineage: Eukaryota; Viridiplantae; Streptophyta; Magnoliopsida; Solanales; Solanaceae. The record is from RNAcentral.
AAAGCCAAAAGCCAAAAAAUGACCUAGACCCAUAAUAUACUCAGCAGCGCCAUAAGAACAAAUAAGGACCCCUCCUCAUCGUCUUCUUCUUCGUGACCCCUCACCCAAGAAUACUCACCAGUAGCCGCAACACCUCACACACAACACCGGCUACUGAACCUUUCCGCCGUUACCACCCAAACCCGUCGGUCAGACCCAUCUCCAGCCACCUUCACUGAACUAGUAGCCCGCUGGAGAACAGACACACACACACAAAUAGAGUGAGGGAACGAGCUUAGAGCUGGAAUAGAUAGAUACGAACUGAAAUCGAAAAUAGUACAAAAACUACUUCGUCUUCUCUAUUCUCGAUUUGGUUCUUAGUUUUCUGCAACAUGGAGUUUAAUUGAUGUUUGGAGCCGAAUUUGAGUUUGAAUCGUGUGGAGGUCGCCAUUGAAGGUAGUCUAUUCCGAAUUCGACGAGGUUUCCGGUUCGAGGUUUUGAUUUGUGCGAUUUCUUGCUCGACUUUGCUGUUGUUGUUCGCGUGAAUUUAGAAGUUUAACAUUUGAAUCUGGCGAUUGCAAAGGUUUCGUUCUUUCUCUAACUCGAUCUUUUGCUUAUUGUAAUAGAAUAACAUGAUUUUCUUAUGAAUUUGGUUUGGAUGCUGAGUUUAUCGUUCGUUCGUUAAUGUGGAGUUACUGGAAAUAUUUUCAAUUAUUUAGUUGCUGAUCUCCUGUAUUUAGGUGUAAUUUGGGUUAAUUUGGGUGGUUUAGAUUGUUAAGCAAAGACACUAACUAACAUUGCUUUCGUCUGAUUAGAGUAAACAGAAGUCGUAAGUCCUUGGUCUGAAUUUUUGAGAGCUAAAAAUUGCGUAAAGAUUUCAUCCAAAAAUCAAGAAGUGGGCUUCAGUAGAAUCUUAGACUUAGAAACAGAAGCUUGUGAUAAGGGACAAGGUUGAACCUAAUAAUGUGUUAUUAUCUGGAAUUCAACUAAAGAUGGACAUUUCUCCAACUAUUCUGCAAUGCAAUUAAUCUUACUAUGACAUUUGUUUGUCUUGUACAGUGUAACAGGCUAACAACUGGCUGAUUUGAGUUUUGAAUUCUGUUACGAUGACUCAUUAGGAGAUUAAGGUUUUAAAGCUUUAGAAUUAACAUUCUAGUGAUAUGGAACAAUUAAGCUCUACUAAUCUCUUCUACUGCUGGACCGUUAUGUUGAAAAGAAAAAUCAGUUGCUUACUUGGAUUUCCUUAAUGUGAUUCACUUGACAAUUGGACUUGGAUUUUAGAUGAGGUAAAGUAGAAUUGGGAUUAAAUUCGCGUUCAUGUUUUAAUAUAGAUUGAUUGAAUCAUCGUGAUUGUGUACACGUUCGCGUGACAUAAUUACGAUUCUAAAAAAAAAACCAAACCGGAGUAUGCGUUCGUGCAACUUCGAUCAAGCUUUCUCGUAAUAAUAAAUUGCUAUUAAUAGUCCACUUUAAUUAAAUAUAAUUUCUUAAAAAUAGACCGAGGUGUGCCAUCCAAUUUAAUCAUCCAUGACCCUCGUAUUAAUCUUAUGACUUAGGUAUAAGAAUGACAAAUGUUCGUAGUUUGUUUUAGGCGUGUUUAAUAUACUAGUAUUGUAAUUGUGGACACGUUCGCGUGGCAUGAUUACGAUUCUAAAAACAAAACCGGAGUAUGCGUUCGCGCAACUUUGGCCCCAAAAUUUUGUUAAUAAUAAUAAAGCGUUAUUAAUUGUGGACACGUUCACAUGACAUGAUUUUGACGCGCCAAACAAAUGAGUACACAUACGCAUGACCUAUUUUCAAGAUAAUUUUCUUAAUUAAAAGCGGUAAAAGGCAAAUGCACACAUGUUCUUAAAUAAGUAAUUAUACAAUUUGAUUAAGCCAAGUAUGAUCAAAGCGACUGUGCUAGAACCACGGAACUCGAAAGUGCCUAACACCUUCUCCCGGGUUAAUAGAAUUUCUUACCCGGGUUUCUAUGUUCGCGGACCGUAAAUAGAGUCAAACUUCCUCGACUCGGGAUUUUAACCGGUGACUUGGGACACCAUAAACUAUCCCAAGUGGCGACUCUGAUCUAAUAAAUAAUCCCGUUUCGAUUGUCACUUAAAUUGGAAAAAACCCUCUUAUACCCCAUCCGGGGUGUAGUAAAAAGGAGGUGUGACAGCUCUGGUGACUCUGCUGGGGACAAGAACCCAGAAUCUCUGGUUCAGGGUUCAGAAUUCGAGCUUGUUAAUAUGAUUUUGGUUGGCUUUAUUUAUUGUUGAUAUUACUGUAUUUUGUGAACCUUUUGUGCUAAAUGCUAUCUGUUUACCGCUUUAAUAUUGUUUGAAUUAUAUAUAAGUUUUUACGCCACCCCCUCUGAGUCUUCUGAAAAUGGUGCACACGUUCGCGUGACCCGCUUUUUCUGUAGAAAUUAUUCCAAAUAGAACGAGGCUAGGCCAACAACAAGGCCGGGCCAACAACAAGGCCGGAUAGACUUUAGUGCUCCCGAUACGUUGCCCCCUCUUCGGCCCCAGUUGUCUGCUCGGGUAACCCAAGUCUAGAACACAACCCCAGGAUUUAAACCUAGAAAAAUACAGUCUCAUGCCGGAUCCCUAGUAGGAACGUUUAUUUGCAUCACGUGUAUUUAACUUAGGGGACUCAACAUAGGGAUUGAGUCCGUCUAGGACAGGUGUACCCAAAAAUAAAAGAUCAUCUUGAUGCAUCCUAUGUGCUAUAUGUUGCAUUUCAUCAGGGGUAAAAGGAUCAUUUGACGGACCAAUGAUAAUUGAGGGCGAAUGAAAAAAUAAGAAAAAAAAGAGAAAAAGAGAAGGUGAAGUGUGAGGAUAAAGUGAGUAGGGCCCAAUUAUGUUUUCUGUCACAUUUUUGUUAAGAAAAAAAGAGCAUGAAAAAUUCAAAAAAGGGAUUUUGCACUUUUUCAUCAUUUUCUGAAAAUCAAAAAAUCCAAAAAAAGGGAAAAAAAAAUUCAAAAAGAGUUUACAUGUUUCAUCAUUUUAAAAAAAGAAGAAGACAAAAACAUAUUUUCUCUAAAUUAGCUAUUUUUUUAAUUCUUGCCUGUAUCCAAUCUGCCCGAACUACGCGAACCUGAUUUUCAUCUUUCGGGGCGUGAUACGUAGGCAACCCACAUAGGGUCCGGUCUUCCUAGUGAGUUUAGGUUCUUGGGUUCGCGGGAUCUUAUCUUUAUCUUGCAUUUGUAGCCACUUUUAGCCACAUAGGUUAAUUUUAGAAAAAUAGUCACAACCAUGUCUUGCAUGUGUCUAGUAGGGAAUGAUAUUGUCUCACAUAGUGUUGGUUUCAGUUUUCUCAUACAGGCGUGGAUCUACUUACCGGAGUUUGAGUAUGACAGAUACCCCAGGACAACUGCAUUCAGGAGCUGCCCGAGGAGCCUUUUUAUGUUUUUGAGUCUAUUGUUCAUGUUUUUCUUUCUAGUCCUGUACAAUAGUAUUCAGUCAUUUAGUUGAUGCUAGUGUCUGUCAUAGUCUAGUUAAGUUGGUCG